RNAcentral lists this ribosomal RNA (220 nucleotides) under Escherichia coli. RNAcentral describes it as "partial 16S ribosomal RNA". It matches the Rfam family "Bacterial small subunit ribosomal RNA", at positions 1 to 217 of the family's 1533-position model. RNAcentral also lists the same sequence under 6 other names. The record is from RNAcentral. Lineage: Bacteria; Pseudomonadati; Pseudomonadota; Gammaproteobacteria; Enterobacterales; Enterobacteriaceae.
AAAUUGAAGAGUUUGAUCAUGGCUCAGAUUGAACGCUGGCGGCAGGCCUAACACAUGCAAGUCGAACGGUAACAGGAAACAGCUUGCUGUUUCGCUGACGAGUGGCGGACGGGUGAGUAAUGUCUGGGAAACUGCCUGAUGGAGGGGGAUAACUACUGGAAACGGUAGCUAAUACCGCAUAACGUCGCAAGACCAAAGAGGGGGACCUUCGGGCCUCUUG